AUCAGUUUUGCCAACAUUUCAUGGUGGAGUUAGGAAACACCUUCCGGAUACCUUGUUAAUCAUGAUCAGUAUUAUUGCCAAUUUUUCUAAUCAUAUAAAUGAUUACAAUUCAAAUUUCUCAGUUUACACACUCAGCUACUGUAUGAAGGCAAUGUUUUAACAAAUAUUUCUGGCUCUACUGAUAUCACGACAACGACGUUACAGCAUAAGUGACUUCCUGCGACGAUCGACAGUCGUGUGUAGUGACGUGAGAGGGAGCGAUGUUCUACUUGCUUGAAAACUGGAACAUAAUCGGGACGUGUGCAGCUCUGUGUUAGGAAGGAGUAACCGAAGACACUUGCCGGGCGCCAGUCAAUCACCACGAUGAGACGAAACGCUUCCAGCAUCUGAAACGAGCUACGGGCAGUUUUUCCAUCGCACCGGCUUAAAUGGAGCAGAGCCCAGGUGACAGAAUUAGGAUGAAGACAACGCGCAGUAACCAGGACUGUCUCCCCUUGGCGGUGUUAACAGGUGACCUUCUGGAAGCCUCCCUGGAGAUGUGUUUGCCCAAAUUGGAGGAGACCCCGGGGCAGACUCAGGACAUGCUGGAGAGAUUACAUCUCUUGGCUGUCUUGGGGACGACUUGGUAUUCCCCUGUGGAGCUGGAGGAGGUGACUGGGGAGAAGGAGGUCUGGGCAUCCCUGCUUAGACUGCUGCUUAUGUGACCCGACCCUGGAUAAGUAGCGGAGUUGGACCCAGUGAUUCCAUCCCAGACAACUGAGAAUGAGACCUGAAUGCCUUGCAUGUGAUUUAAUAAAAAUAUAUACAGAUU
Molecule: long non-coding RNA, 811 nt
Organism: Brienomyrus brachyistius
Lineage: Eukaryota; Metazoa; Chordata; Actinopteri; Osteoglossiformes; Mormyridae
Exons: 5
Source: RefSeq, a predicted model, not a curated record